GUGGUUGUAGCUCAGUCGGCAGAGCGCGACGUCGCCAACGUCGAGGUCCCGGGUUCGACUCCCGGUAGCCACU
This 73-nucleotide transfer RNA is filed under the name Spirilliplanes yamanashiensis. It matches the Rfam family "tRNA". From Rfam's summary of the family: Transfer RNA (tRNA) molecules are approximately 80 nucleotides in length. Their secondary structure includes four short double-helical elements and three loops (D, anti-codon, and T loops). The record is from Rfam by way of RNAcentral. Lineage: Bacteria; Bacillati; Actinomycetota; Actinomycetes; Micromonosporales; Micromonosporaceae.